RNAcentral lists this ribosomal RNA (383 nucleotides) under uncultured eukaryote. Its description in RNAcentral is "partial 18S ribosomal RNA". It matches the Rfam family "Eukaryotic small subunit ribosomal RNA", at positions 592 to 976 of the family's 1831-position model. The record is from RNAcentral.
CAAUAGCGUAUAUUAAAGUUGUUGCAGUUAAAAAGCUCGUAGUUGGAUUUCUGGUGGGAGCGAUCGGUCUGGCGCUUAGCGCGAGUACUUGCAUCGUCUCCGGCCAUCCUUGGGGAUAGUCUGUCUGGCAUUAAGUUGUCGGGCAGAGGAUCCUCAUCGUUUACUGUGAAAAAAUUAGAGUGUUCAAAGCAGGCUUAUGCCGUUGAAUAUAUUAGCAUGGAAUAAUAAGAUAGGACUUUGGUACUAUUUUGUUGGUUUGCGCACCAAAGUAAUGAUUAAUAGGGACAGUUGGGGGUAUUCGUAUUCCGUUGUCAGAGGUGAAAUUCUUGGAUUUACGGAAGACGAACUACUGCGAAAGCAUUUACCAAGGAUGUUUUCAUUAA